GUGUGACCAACACACUCGAACAAAAAAAAAUUCAACUAUAGAUUGUCUAAGUGCCGGCGUGUUGUGGAAAAUGCUUUUGGCCAUUUAAAAGCCCGAUUUAGGAGAAUUGGAAAAGGCGUGGAUAACCACAUCAAAAAUGUAAACACAGUUAUUUCAUGUGCAUGUGUUUUACAUAAUUUUUUGAUUGCUGAGAAGGAUUUAAUUUUGGAAAAUUGGCUAGUGGAAAUGCAUCGCGAUUCCAGACGCAAUAUUCAAUACGGCACCAAUGCAGUUGACCGAUCUGAAGGAGAAUCGAUAAGAAAUGCGUUAAAGGAAUAUUUCAGUGCGGAAGCUUCGUUCAGUGCUGGAGACGAUGGUGGCGAAAAUGAAAAUGAAGCAGACGG
Long non-coding RNA from Anastrepha ludens (Mexican fruit fly), 383 nucleotides. RefSeq lists it as uncharacterized. Lineage: Eukaryota; Metazoa; Arthropoda; Insecta; Diptera; Tephritidae. The record is from RefSeq and is a predicted model, not a curated record. The transcript has 3 exons.